This 497-nucleotide ribosomal RNA is filed under the name uncultured bacterium. Its description in RNAcentral is "partial 16S ribosomal RNA". It matches the Rfam family "Bacterial small subunit ribosomal RNA", at positions 28 to 507 of the family's 1533-position model. The record is from RNAcentral.
GAUGAACGCUGGCGGCGUGCCUAAUACAUGCAAGUCGAGCGAACAGACGAGGAGCUUGCUCCUCUGACGUUAGCGGCGGACGGGUGAGUAACACGUGGAUAACCUACCUAUAAGACUGGGAUAACUUCGGGAAACCGGAUCUAAUACCGGAUAAUAUAUUGAACCGCAUGGUUCAAUAGUGAAAGACGGUUUUGCUGUCACUUAUAGAUGGAUCCGCGCCGCAUUAGCUAGUUGGUAAGGUAACGGCUUACCAAGGCAACGAUGCGUAGCCGACCUGAGAGGGUGAUCGGCCACACUGGAACUGAGACACGGUCCAGACUCCUACGGGAGGCAGCAGUAGGGAAUCUUCCGCAAUGGGCGAAAGCCUGACGGAGCAACGCCGCGUGAGUGAUGAAGGUCUUAGGAUCGUAAAACUCUGUUAUUAGGGAAGAACAAAUGUGUAAGUAACUAUGCACGUCUUGACGGUACCUAAUCAGAAAGCCACGGCUAACUACGUG